GAUGAAGAACGUAGCGAAUUGUGAUAAGUAAUGUGAAUUGCAGAAUUCAGUGAAUCAUCGAAUCUUUGAACGCAGCUUGCGCUCUCUGGUAUUCCGGAGAGCAUGCCUGUUUCAGUGUCAUGAAAUCUCAACCACUAGGGUUUCCUAAUGGAUUGGAUUUGGGCGUCUGCGAUUUCUGAUCGCUCGCCUUAAAAGAGUUAGCAAGUUUGACAUUAAUGUCUGGUGUAAUAAGUUUCACUGGGUCCAUUGUGUUGAAGCGUGCUUCUAAUCGUCCGCAAGGACAAUUACUUUGACUCUGGCCUGAAAUCAGGUAGGACUACCCGCUGAACUUAAGCAUAUCAAUAAGCGGAGGA
RNAcentral lists this unclassified non-coding RNA (353 nucleotides) under soil metagenome. RNAcentral's name for it is "partial contains 5.8S ribosomal RNA, internal transcribed spacer 2, and large subunit ribosomal RNA". The stretch from base 1 to 120 matches the Rfam family "5.8S ribosomal RNA", at positions 35 to 154 of the family's 154-position model. The record is from RNAcentral.